Molecule: ribosomal RNA, 413 nt
Filed under: uncultured microorganism
Description: bacterial SSU rRNA
Rfam family: Archaeal small subunit ribosomal RNA
Source: RNAcentral
GUGCACCAGUCGAGAAUCCUUCGCAAUGCGGGAAACCGCGACGAGGGGACUCCCAGUGCCUACGCUCAGCGUAGGCUGUUCCCGAGCCUAGAAAGCUCGGGGAGUAAGGGCUGGGUAAGACGGGUGCCAGCCGCCGCGGUAAUACCCGCAGCCCGAGUGGUGGCCACUAUUAUUGGGCCUAAAGCGUCCGUAGCCGGCCCGGUAAAUGCCUGGGUAAAUCGUGAGGCCUAACCUCACGAAUUCCGGGUAGACUGCCGGGCUAGGGACCGGAGGAGGGAGAGGGUACUCCAGGGGUAGGGGUGAAAUCCUGUAAUCCCUGGGGGACCACCGGUGGCGAAGGCGCUCUCCUAGGACGGGUCCGACGGUGAGGGACGAAAGCCAGGGGAGCGAACCGGAUUAGAUACCCGCGUAGU